RNAcentral lists this long non-coding RNA (3130 nucleotides) under Sus scrofa (pig). Its description in RNAcentral is "lncRNA (ENSSSCG00000060876.1)". The record is from RNAcentral. Lineage: Eukaryota; Metazoa; Chordata; Mammalia; Artiodactyla; Suidae.
CUACGAGGCUGUUUUCCAAUUUCAUCUUCAUAAUUCCCCCUACUCCUCAUCCCAGCACCCAUGCCAACCAUGUUAAAGUACUUGGGGCUCUGAGAGUCUCAGAGCACCUUGCUAUCUGAUGUCUUUCUGCCUUGGCAUAUGCACUUCUUCUGUAAAGCUUCUCUUCUCUUGUCUGCCUGAUAUACUUACUUAUCCUUGAGGUUAUCCCUCUAGAAUCAUCUUCUCUCGUAGGUGUUCCUUGAUUGUCCAGGUAAAGUUUAGUUAUAGUGCACCCCGAAAUCUCUCCAUUAGAACAGAACUUCUCAAAACUUCAGGGGUAAGAGACCAGUAAUUUUUUUUAAAUCUCCAGUCUAUCAUGCGCUAAUAACAUUGUAAAAUACAAUUCAAAAAAUUCAUUGAAAAGUGAAAUAAAAGGAUAUAAACUACAAUCUCAGUUUUUAAUCAUUAGAUGCAACAGACACAAAAUUAUUCUGUCAAUGUACUGUGAAAGUUUUGAAUGCUUAUUUUCCAUUUCUUUACUUAUUCUGCCAUAGAAAACAUCUUGUGGAUUGCAGUGGUAUUCAGAUCACACACUGAGUAGCAUCAUACUUGAGCACCAUCAAUGCUAUUUUGCAUUUUAAACAUAGAUCAAAUAUUUUCUUAAUAGCAGAGGCCAUGUUGUAUUGAUCUUUAUCAAGGCAUCUAUCAUUUUGUGCCCAGUGAAAAUAGGUGGAUGAGCAGGCCAGGGUGAACCAGCUCAAGUCUAAUCUUUUGCAGGGACUUGUGGCAUUCCCCCUAAGAGACAUUCUGCACUGAAUCCUUACAAGUGCUUACUCAAGAUCAGACCAGAAAUAAUCACAAUCCAUCCAUAUUAUAAGAAACAUAUAAACUUAAUAUUUUCAGUUUUAGUCUUUUUCAGCUCAGAGGCGGCCCUGUUAUAAUCUCUUCUGAGAAGAAAGAAGAGAUAAGAACAGAGUGGAAAAUGUAGGAUUCCUUCCAACAGGGGAAGAGAUAGCCCCUCAUCAUGCUUAUCCGCUGCUUUUUAUGCAUCUCCACUGUCUCACCUCAUUAUAUGUGUGGUUCCUUUCAAACCACAGCAUCACCUCACCUUAUACACUGGGUGUCUCUCCCCUGGUAUUGAUUCACUUUCCAGGCACACUGCUGUGCAUUCAGCAGAUUUAGAGGGAAAAUAAGUGGUAUAAUAUUGCAGCACUACUGACAAGGUGACUUAAAAUUGUAUUAGAUAAUCCUGUUCUUAAAAAUUCCUUCACGUUCUCAUUGGCUAAUCCCUCCUGCAGAGCUGGACAUCUCACCACUUUAUUGGGACCCUAUCUUUUCAAUGGGUUCUUCCACGCCUCCUUAGGCUGCUUUGAAUUGCUUCUCUCUCACCUAUGAGUUUCCUGUUUCUUUAUUAUGCAAAGUGCUUUAUAUCUCCCUGGUUUUGCAGUCUCUCUCCAAACUCUUGGUUAUGUAAUUCAAGAGCUACAAAUGAAUAUUGCAAAAUGUAUCACAGAAUGUAUUAUAGCAUGCUGUGUAGCCUAAAUGCCUAAUCUCAACAAAGUGUUGGAGAAAACCAGCAGGGGUUUCAAAGCACUAAGGCAGAAAUCUGGGAUGAGUGUUGAUGACACUUUCCUCUUCUUUUCCUUUUUAAAUCUGACAAUGUUGAAUAUCUUUUCAUGUGCUUAUUGGCCAUUUUAUCUUCUCUGGAGAAAUAUCAAUCUAAAUUCUCGCCCCAUUUUUAAUUGGGUUAUUUGUCUUUUUGAAGUGUAAGAAUUUUUAGUUGUAGGAAUAUAUUUUGGAAAGCAGAUCCUUAUUAGAUACACAUUCAUUCUGUGGGUUGUCUUUUCUUUUUCUUGAUAGUGUCCUUUGAAACAUAGAAGUUUUUAUUUUAAUUAAGUUUCUAAUUUAUUUUCUCUUUGGUAUCUCAUUGCCUUUAAAGGUUACUUUUUCACAAUUAAUUUACAGCAUCAUAGGAAUCAUAAUACUCCCAAAUGUUAAUAUGCCCCAGAAUCACUUGAGAACUUUUGAAAAAUGAGGAUUCUCACAUCCUGUUCUAAGAAGUUCUGACUCAGUAGGUGUGGCCUGGACCCAAAUAAUCUGUAUUUUAAUGAGCAGUUCAGGAGAUUUUCAUGUACGAGGUCUAAGGACCCCAUUUCAAGUUACCUUGUUUUCUAAGAAAAGAACUGACUCUAGAGGUCAUCUAGAUUUAUACCCCUGAAGCAGACCCACCCAUGGUGACCCAAAUGAUUCAUGCCUCUAGUAUAAUCCCUUCCUCUUGAGCAGGUGAAGCCUGUGAUUUGCUUUUGAUCAAAAGAAUAUAGGAAAGGUGAUAGGAUAUCACUCCUGGGAUUGUUUUGUUAUGUAAGAAAUGAAAUGGAGCGCUUCUCCAGCUUAGUGAAAUGGAGAGCUUCUCCAGCUGUCUUUGAAGAAGCAAAUGGCCAUAGUAUGGACUGCUGAUGGAGAGGGCUGGGAACUGUGGGUGGCCUACAGCUGGUGACCAAUAAGCAACGAGGGCCCUCAGUCCUACAACAGCAAGGAAAUAAAUCCUCCCAACAUAUGACCUCAGAAACAGAUUCUUCCCCAUUCACCCCCCCAAAUCAGUCCAACAUACUGAUUGUUGACUGUUGAGAUACAGAGAAGAAGAGCCAGAAAAGCUAUGCCUAGACUUCUGGUCUACAGAAGCUAUGACUUAAAGUUUUUUGUUUGCUUGUUUCUUUUUGUAGCUGCUAAAUAUGUGAUAAUGUUACAGAGCAAUAGAGAGAAAACAAAUGCUCUGCCUCAACCUGUUUUAAUCCAUGUCUCCCAUUUUAUAAAUGUAAAUUUACACAUUUACCACUCCUUAAAAUACAAAGUAAAAUACCUAAAAAUACAAAGUAAACAUAAAUACUUGACAAAUAAAAUACAAAGUAAACAUAAAUACUUGACAAAUAAAAUAAAAGCAAAGACACAAGGGCUGCUUCGUUUUAAAAGUAGAUACAACUCUAUUUCUAAUUUUGAUAUUUGCCUUAAUAUCCAAACAAAUUUCAAAUAGAUGUAGUAACUUGUUCAAAGUUACAAAACUAGUUUUGGCUGUCACUAUCAUGUGCUGUCUCCUUUCUAAACAGCUCUUUCAAUCUUCUUGAAGAAAGAACUAUACUUAAUAUUAUUCUGA